This 309-nucleotide ribosomal RNA is filed under the name uncultured archaeon. RNAcentral's name for it is "bacterial SSU rRNA". It matches the Rfam family "Archaeal small subunit ribosomal RNA", at positions 526 to 834 of the family's 1478-position model. The record is from RNAcentral.
UGGCCGCGUAGGUUCGUCGGGAAAUCCAUCCGCCCAACGGAUGGGCGUCCGGCGAAAACCACGUGGCUUGGGACCGGAAGGCUCGAGGGGUACGUCCGGGGUAGGAGUGAAAUCCCGUAAUCCUGGACGGACCGCCGAUGGCGAAAGCACCUCGAGAAGACGGAUCCGACAGUGAGGGACGAAAGCUGGGGUCUCGAACCGGAUUAGAUACCCGGGUAGUCCCAGCCGUAAACAAUGCCAAUUAGGUGUGGCACCGACUACGAGUCGGUGCUGUGCCGUAGGGAAGCCGAUAAAUUGGCCGCCUGGGAA